This 406-nucleotide ribosomal RNA is filed under the name uncultured bacterium. RNAcentral describes it as "bacterial SSU rRNA". It matches the Rfam family "Bacterial small subunit ribosomal RNA", at positions 335 to 715 of the family's 1533-position model. The record is from RNAcentral.
ACUCCUACGGGAGGCAGCAGUGGGAAUAUUGCACAAUGGGCGCAAGCCUGAUGCAGCCAUGCCGCGUGUGUGAAGAAGGCCUUCGGGUUGUAAAGCACUUUCAGUCGUGAGGAAGGUGGUAGUGUUAAUAGCACUAUCAUUUGACGUUAGCGACAGAAGAAGCACCGGCUAACUCCGUGCCAGCAGCCGCGGUAAUACGGAGGGUGCGAGCGUUAAUCGGAAUUACUGGGCGUAAAGCGCAUGCAGGUGGUUUGUUAAGUCAGAUGUGAAAAGCCCGGGCUCAAGCCUCAGGCAAUUGCAUUUGGAAAAUCUUGGACAGACGUAGAAGUACUGUAGAGGGGGUGAGAAUUGAUCGAGGUAGUUAGGCGGUGAAAUGCAGUAGAGAUCUGAAGGAAAUAACCGGUGG